Molecule: ribosomal RNA, 250 nt
Filed under: uncultured bacterium
Lineage: Bacteria
Description: partial 16S ribosomal RNA
Rfam family: Bacterial small subunit ribosomal RNA
Source: RNAcentral
UACAGAGGGUGCAAGCGUUAAUCGGAAUUACUGGGCGUAAAGCGUGCGUAGGCGGUUUCGUAAGUCGGGUGUGAAAGCCCCGGGCUCAACCUGGGAAUGGCAUUGGAUACUGGCGGGCUGGAGUGUGGCAGAGGGGGGUGGAAUUCCGCGUGUAGCAGUGAAAUGCGUAGAGAUGCGGAGGAACACCGAUGGCGAAGGCAGCCCCCUGGGCUGACACUGACGCUCAGGCACGAAAGCGUGGGGAGCAAAC